AACCCCACACAGCCCUAACCGGGGUGUCAUAAGUCACGAGCAUCUAUUAGAACAUAAAUACAACUACAAGGUCCGAAAUAUACAAAAACAGGACUGAUGAGCAAAAAGGGAGAGAACACGGUGCUGCGAAUGCUGGCAGCCACCUUGCUAAACUCCGAUAACUCUGCCACCGAUUAGCCAAAACCCACUACCAGGUGUAUAAAUACCUGCAUCUGUACACAAGGUACAUGGAGUAAAGUGAGUACUCCAACUCAGUGAGUAAUAAAGGUAAAUAACAAGUGAGUAGUAAGAAAUCAUGUAAGGCAAACCAACAUGUUGUAUAGAAGCAGUGUAAAACCUUUGAGAAAAGCAAUGAAACUGUGAAAUCUUUAGAAAUAUCUUAGUUCAGUUUAAUCCUCUUUUGAAAAUGGCUUUUUCAAUAGUUAUGCAAAUGAAUACAAAACAAUUAGUGCAUAUAAGCACAGAAAUCCGCCCCUCGGGCUCAACACUCAAUGUAACAGGUAAUGCUAGACAAUCAGGAAGAUAACACAUAAAGUAACACAAUCAACAGGUAAUGGCAGACAAAUGGAAAUAAAGUAAACACAUAGAACAGUACCAGCCCCUCAGGCUCACUCUCAGAACACUCUCAGCCCCUCGGGCUCACUCUAUGAUCACAAUGGGUACCCGUGCUCACUGGGAGUGUGCACACCCCGGGAGGGCCCCCUUACGGCCCAAGCGCAAUAUCAAGCCAUCUCGUGACAUCAAAUCUAGGCCCUCGGCCUCACAUCACUCAAGCCACCUCGUGGCGUGUAAAAAUAUCUUAGGCCCUCGGCCUCACAUCACUCAAGCCACCUCGUGGCGUAUAAAAAUAUCUCAGGCCCUCGGCCUCAUAUCACUCAACAUAUCCUCACAUAUGGCCCUCGGCCUCACUCAGUCCGAAAAUUAUCACAAGCCCCUCGGGCAUUAGUAAAACAGUAGUUCUCAGCCCAAAACAUCAUUUAGAAAUAUCAUUUAAAUAUCAAAACUGAGUAAAAGUGGUUGAGUUUGUAAAAAAGUAGAUAGCAACAGGACUGAGUUCAAGUAAUAAGUCAAACAGUGACGAAAUAGUGAUAAAAAUCCCCGAAGGGUUCAAAUAGUUGGCACGAAGCCCAAAUAUGACAAUCAGCCCAAAUCAUGAUGAUAACAAAUAAGUUUCAGUCAAAUAAGCGGUAAAAUCAUCAAUCGGGAUGGAUCAAGUCACAAUCCCCAGUAGUAAACGAUCCCACACUCAUCAUCAAGCACAUGUCUCAUCUUAAUAUAGCACUAUGAUGUGCAAUCCAGGGUUUCAAACCCUCAAGACAUCAUUUACAAUCAUUACUCACCUCGAAUCGGCUACAACUCUAGCUCGUGACGGCUUUACCCCUCGAAUCGGCCUCCACGCACGUCGAAUCUAUCCAAAAUCAGAACGAAUACGUCACAAUAUGCUAAGGGAAUAAAACCUAUGCGAAAACAAUCGAAAAAUAUCAAAAAUCCCGAAAUUAGCAAAACCCGAGCCCUGAGCCCAUUUCUUGAAACUCAGAAAUUUUCACAUUAUUAGAUUCUUUAUCACCCCACGAGUUCAUACAUAUCAAAAGUUCUCCAAUCCGACCUCAAAUGGUUCUUCAAAUCCCAAUUCAAAAGUUCAAAAUCCCAAGCCCUAGUUCUUCCCUUUUUAGCUUAAGUUCCAAGAAUUUCUAGGUUGAUUUCACAAUAGAAUCACGUUUUAUGUUCAAAAAUCUUACCUCCAAUCAAUUAUCCUUGAAUCCUUCUUUAAUCACCCUUAAAAAGCUCUUAAAAUGCUCAACUAAGGAGGAAAAAUGACUCAAAAUCGCGGAUAAAAUAACUUAUAAACUUUCUGCCCAGGUCUGACUUUCCUUCUACGCGAACGCGGUCAACCUCUCGCGUUCGCGUAGCACAAAUUUAUGUUGACCAACUUUUACCUUACGCGAACGCGACACGCCAGUCACGAACGCGAUGCCUCUUCCGCCUUGACCUUCGCGAACGCGAGACACCUGAUGCGAACGCGAAGAGCAAAUUCCACUGGACCCAAAUCCUUAUACGCGAACGCGGAGAGCCUCAUGUGAACGCGAAGCACAAACUCCUAGACUUCCGCGAACGCGAGGCACCUCUCGUGAACGCGAAGGCUUAAUUAUGGCCUUCCUCAAAUUCUUCUACGCGAACGCGAGGCUCCACUCGCGAACGCGAAGAGAUAAUUCUCUACAACAGCUGGGCAGAUUUUUCUGCAACUUUCAAACUCCAAAAUGGUCCGAUUGACCAUCCGAAACUCACCCGAGGCCCCCGGUACCUCAAGCAAAAGCACCAACACAUCUUAAAACCUCAUUCAAACUUGUUCCAAUCAUCAAAACACCUCAAACAACACUAAAUCCAUCAAUUCACAUUGAAUUCAAGCCUAAGUUUUCUAAAAAUUUACGAAAUACGCUUUCGAUCAAAAACUCAACCAAACCACGUCCGAAUGACCUGAAAUUUUGCAUACACAUCACAAAUGACAUAACGAAGAUACAACAACUCUCGGAAUUUUAUUCCGACCCUCAGAUCAAAAUCUCACCUACCAACCGGAAAUCGCCAAAAUACUAACUUCGCCAAUUCAAGCUUAAUUCUACACCGGACCUUCAUAACCAAUUCCGAUUACACUCCUAAGUCAUAAAUCACCCAACGAAGCUAACCAAAUCAUAAAAAUUCCGUUCUGAGCUCAUAUACAAAUAAGUCAACUCUUGGUCAAACCUUUCAAAUUCAAAUCUUUCAUCUGAGACUAUUCUUUCAAAUUCCUUCUGAUUUUCCUGAAAACCAAAACCAACGAUCUACAUCAGUCAUAAUACAUUACACAGGGCAAGUUAUGCCCGAGAACUGGAAAUCAAAGUGCAAAAGCUCAAAACGACUGGUCGGGUCGUUACAUUGAGCCUUCGAAACACCAAAAACAACAUCAAAACACCAAAAUCACAUCAAAUUCAAGCCUAUGAACUUUGAAAUUCCUAAAUUUCACAAACGACGCCGAAACUAUCCAAAACAACUCCGAUUGACCUGAAAUUUUGCAGACAUAUCCAAAAUGACAUUACGAACCCGUUCUAAUGGUCAGAAUUCCAAUCCGACCCCGAUAGCCUAUUUUCCACUGCCGACCGAAAAUCGCCAAAAACUAACUUUUGCCAAUUCAAGCCUAAUUCUACACCGGACAUCACAAUAAUAUUUCGGACACACUCCUAAGUCCCAAAUCACCUAACAAAGCUAUCCGAGCCAUAAAAUCCAUAUUCCGAGGUCGUUUACCAAUAAGUCAACUCUUGGUUGACUUUUCUAACUCUAAAGCUACUUUUAGAGACUAAGCGUCUCAAACCUUACCAAAACCAUUCCGGAUUCGAUCCGACCAAUCAAAUACCACAUAACACGGAUAAACAAAGCAUAAAAAGCAUAAAUAGGGAAAAACUAAGCGGUAACUCAUGAGAUGACUGGCCGGGUCGUCACAAUGGUUCAGUAACUCAUGUCAUUUGGAGGAUUAAAAAAUGAAAAAUUAAUAGGAAAUUCUACUUUUAGUCGUUCAAUAAAAUAUACAAUGCAGAUAAGUAUUGAGGUCUUGCAUGGGGACUAACAUCUCGUGCCAGCGUUCUUUUGGGAUACACAUUUCACUUGAAAAAAAAAUAUUGCAUUGAGAUUGUCACACUUCCUUUUUUCCGAGGGAAUAGGGAAUUUUUCUAAUUUAAGUGACACUAAUCGAAAUAAAAUUAUUUAUUUGUUCAGAGUCGCCACUUGGGAUAAUUAUAUGGUGUCCCAAGUCACCGGUUUAUUUUAAAUCCCAAAUCGAGGAAGUUUUGACUCUGUUUUACAGUCCACAAAACACAGAAAUCCGGGCAAGGAAUUCUGUUAUCCCGGGAGAAGGUGUUAGGCAUUCCCGGGUACCGUGAUUUUAACACGAUCGCUCAACUAUUAAUAAUUGGCCUAAUUACCUGAUUUAUUACAUAUUUAAAUCCUAUUGUGCAUUUUAAACAUUUUAACUGCUUUUAAUUAUUUAUGAGAUUUGUUUCAACAAGUCGCGAUGUCGCACAUUCGUUUGUUUUGUACACAUUGCGAAUCGCGUCACGGGAACUGUACCCAUGAUCCACAAUAUAUUUAAUUUUAUUAUUGUUCGAAGUUAUGGUCGGGUCACAUAAAAUGCACACCCGAAUUGGGAUUAUUACAUAUCGUGACCAUGCCACGAGAACCGUACCCAUAGUCACGAUGAUUUUAUUAAUCGCGCCUAAAGCAAGCUACGAUGAUUCAUAAGAUUAUUUCCUAAACUAGUGAUUAUUUUUAUUGAGCUUACGGUGGAUCAGCUGGCCCAUAAAUAUCAGAAACUAAGUUUUGAUUGUCCAAUUAAGAGAAACAUCCAGAUAAGAACAAACUACAUAGAAGGAAGCAAAAUGCCAAAAUCAACAAGAAAUAAGAGCUUACCAAUAUAAUAUGAAUCAUGUUCAACACAUACACCAUUUUUACUGUCUUUAAUGGUUUAAAGCUCAAAUUCCAAAAUUAUUUUUAGCAUGUUAAACCAUGAUACAUAAGUAUUAUUAAAAGCAACAAUUAGAAAAGCUAAUAAUGAAACCAUAGGAGAAUUUCAUUCAAACACAUAAUACUUCAAAGCCAUUCAUUAAUUAGAAAUAAGGUAAGUUAAAAUUGGACCUCUCAUUAUAACAAAUUUCUUUGAGAAUUGAAUAAUGGAGCACCGUGAAGCAAACAACGGUACAACAAAUACUCUGUUCCAAAUGAAUGCACAACAGUAAGCUCCGAUCAAACUUGUCUCGAAAUUGAACCGUGACCGGAGUUAGAACAGAAAACUUGUCGCCGACGACCUUGAGCACAGAGCUUCACGGGAUUAAUGGAGGAUUUUGGAACCAUUUUCUCGGCGAAAAUGAGAGGGAUUUGAGCUGCUGUUUGUGAAAAUUUUGGGACUAUUUUGUCAGUGUUUUGGGGAGAUUCUUUUAGCGUUUCUGGGUGAUGACAAUGACUAUGUUUAUUGUACGUAUUUGGAAAUUUAGAGCUAUUUUGAGGUGUAAAUGUGAGAAGGAGAAGAAAACUAGUUGUUCUCCAAAAGAACGAAGAAGAAGGCGCUGAUGCCCAUCUUUCUUUUUAGAGCUCUAAGUUUCUUUUCAUUUUUUUCUUUUGCCCUACUUUCUUUUGGUGCUUUUUCGUUCCUUUUCUUCUUUUCAAAUUGGCUUUUUCCCCUUUUUUUGUGUUAUGUAUGUUUUUCUUUUUCUUUUGUCAUGUGAGGUUGUAACUUUUGAAGAAGAAGAAGGAGUUCCUAUGGUGGGGUGCAACUGACCUCUCCUCAAUGAGAGAAUGAGAUAUAAAAAAGAUGUAGGG
RNAcentral lists this long non-coding RNA (5340 nucleotides) under Nicotiana tabacum (common tobacco). RNAcentral describes it as "long non-coding RNA (NTAB_LNC014610)". The record is from RNAcentral. Lineage: Eukaryota; Viridiplantae; Streptophyta; Magnoliopsida; Solanales; Solanaceae.